GACGGACGCUGGCGGCGUGCUUAACACAUGCAAGUCGAACGGAAAGGCCCUGCUUUUGUGGGGUGCUCGAGUGGCGAACGGGUGAGUAACACGUGAGUAACCUGCCCUUGACUUUGGGAUAACUUCAGGAAACUGGGGCUAAUAACGGAUAGGAGCUCCUGCUGCAUGGUGGGGGGUGGAAAGUUUCGGCGGUUGGGGAUGGACUCGCGGCUUAUCAGCUUGUUGGUGGGGUAGUGGCUUACCAAGGCUUUGACGGGUAGCCGGCCUGGGAGGGUGACCGGCCACAUUGGGACUGAGAGACGGCCCAGACUCCAACGGGAGGCAGCAGUGGGAAAUAUUGCACAAUGGGCGGAAGCCUGAUGCAGCAACGCCGCGUGCGGGAUGACGGCCUUCGGGUUGUAAACCGCUUUCGCCUGUGACGAAGCGUGAGUGACGGUAAUGGGUAAAGAAGCACCGGCUAACUACGUG
RNAcentral lists this ribosomal RNA (468 nucleotides) under uncultured bacterium. RNAcentral describes it as "partial 16S ribosomal RNA". It matches the Rfam family "Bacterial small subunit ribosomal RNA", at positions 28 to 507 of the family's 1533-position model. The record is from RNAcentral.